CAAACACCAAAGAUGAAACGAUUUUCGGAUGUAAACGAGCUCACUGAGCUCGAGUGUCCGAGAGCGCAAAACCCAUGUGGAUUAUUCCGUUGCCUUCCUUCUGACCCUCUCU
This 112-nucleotide small nucleolar RNA is filed under the name Plicaturopsis crispa FD-325 SS-3. Its description in RNAcentral is "Small nucleolar RNA Z13/snr52". It matches the Rfam family "Small nucleolar RNA Z13/snr52". Rfam says of the family: Z13 or snr52 is a member of the C/D class of snoRNA which contain the C (UGAUGA) and D (CUGA) box motifs. Most of the members of the box C/D family function in directing site-specific 2'-O-methylation of substrate RNAs. Lineage: Eukaryota; Fungi; Basidiomycota; Agaricomycetes; Amylocorticiales; Amylocorticiaceae. The record is from Rfam by way of RNAcentral.